RNAcentral lists this ribosomal RNA (465 nucleotides) under uncultured bacterium. RNAcentral describes it as "partial 16S ribosomal RNA". It matches the Rfam family "Bacterial small subunit ribosomal RNA", at positions 28 to 507 of the family's 1533-position model. The record is from RNAcentral.
GACGAACGCUGGCGGCGUGCUUAACACAUGCCAGUCGAACGGAAAGGCCCUGCUUGCAGGGUACUCGAGUGGCGAACGGGUGAGUAACACGUGGGUGAUCUGCCCUGCACUUCGGGAUAAGCCUGGGAAACUGGGUCUAAUACCGGAUAGGAGCCAUUUUUAGUGUGAUGGUUGGAAAGUUUUUUCGGUGUAGGAUGAGCUCGCGGCCUAUCAGCUUGUUGGUGGGGUAAUGGCCUACCAAGGCGGCGACGGGUAGCCGGCCUGAGAGGGUGGACGGCCACAUUGGGACUGAGAUACGGCCCAGACUCCGACGGGAGGCAGCAGUGGGGAAGAUUGCACAAUGGGCGCAAGCCUGAUGCAGCGACGCCGCGUGGGGGAUGACGGCCUUCGGGUUGUAAACUCCUUUCGCUAGGGACGAAGCUUUUUGUGACGGUACCUAGAUAAGAAGCACCGGCUAACUACGUG